Molecule: ribosomal RNA, 1466 nt
Filed under: Salmonella enterica
Lineage: Bacteria; Pseudomonadati; Pseudomonadota; Gammaproteobacteria; Enterobacterales; Enterobacteriaceae
Also listed under: 1 other name
Description: partial 23S ribosomal RNA
Rfam family: Bacterial large subunit ribosomal RNA
Source: RNAcentral
CGACGGUUGUCCCGGUUUAAGCGUGUAGGCUGGUUUUCCAGGCAAAUCCGGAAAAUCAAGGCUGAGGCGUGAUGACGAGGCACUACGGUGCUGAAGCAACAAAUGCCCUGCUUCCAGGAAAAGCCUCUAAGCAUCAGGUAACAUCAAAUCGUACCCCAAACCGACACAGGUGGUCAGGUAGAGAAUACCAAGGCGCUUGAGAGAACUCGGGUGAAGGAACUAGGCAAAAUGGUGCCGUAACUUCGGGAGAAGGCACGCUGACACGUAGGUGAAGUGAUUUACUCAUGGAGCUGAAGUCAGUCGAAGAUACCAGCUGGCUGCAACUGUUUAUUAAAAACACAGCACUGUGCAAACACGAAAGUGGACGUAUACGGUGUGACGCCUGCCCGGUGCCGGAAGGUUAAUUGAUGGGGUCAGCGCAAGCGAAGCUCCUGAUCGAAGCCCCGGUAAACGGCGGCCGUAACUAUAACGGUCCUAAGGUAGCGAAAUUCCUUGUCGGGUAAGUUCCGACCUGCACGAAUGGCGUAAUGAUGGCCAGGCUGUCUCCACCCGAGACUCAGUGAAAUUGAACUCGCUGUGAAGAUGCAGUGUACCCGCGGCAAGACGGAAAGACCCCGUGAACCUUUACUAUAGCUUGACACUGAACAUUGAGCCUUGAUGUGUAGGAUAGGUGGGAGGCUUUGAAGUGUGGACGCCAGUCUGCAUGGAGCCGACCUUGAAAUACCACCCUUUAAUGUUUGAUGUUCUAACGUGGACCCGUUACCCGGGUUGCGGACAGUGUCUGGUGGGUAGUUUGACUGGGGCGGUCUCCUCCUAAAGAGUAACGGAGGAGCACGAAGGUUGGCUAAUCCUGGUCGGACAUCAGGAGGUUAGUGCAAUGGCAUAAGCCAGCCUGACUGCGAGCGUGACGGCGCGAGCAGGUGCGAAAGCAGGUCAUAGUGAUCCGGUGGUUCUGAAUGGAAGGGCCAUCGCUCAACGGAUAAAAGGUACUCCGGGGAUAACAGGCUGAUACCGCCCAAGAGUUCAUAUCGACGGCGGUGUUUGGCACCUCGAUGUCGGCUCAUCACAUCCUGGGGCUGAAGUAGGUCCCAAGGGUAUGGCUGUUCGCCAUUUAAAGUGGUACGCGAGCUGGGUUUAGAACGUCGUGAGACAGUUCGGUCCCUAUCUGCCGUGGGCGCUGGAGAACUGAGGGGGGCUGCUCCUAGUACGAGAGGACCGGAGUGGACGCAUCACUGGUGUUCGGGUUGUCAUGCCAAUGGCACUGCCCGGUAGCUAAAUGCGGAAGAGAUAAGUGCUGAAAGCAUCUAAGCACGAAACUUGCCCCGAGAUGAGUUCUCCCUGAGACUUAGAGUCUCCUGAAGGAACGUUGAAGACGACGACGUUGAUAGGCCGGGUGUGUAAGCGCAGCGAUGCGUUGAGCUAACCGGUACUAAUGAACCGUGAGGCUUAACCUUACAACGCCGAAG